RNAcentral lists this microRNA precursor (63 nucleotides) under Cordylochernes scorpioides. Lineage: Eukaryota; Metazoa; Arthropoda; Arachnida; Pseudoscorpiones; Chernetidae. The record is from RNAcentral.
ACGCGGCGUCACCCAAUCCGGAGAGGAAUAGGGAGAUUGGCUCCGGAUUGUGGGUUCCCGCGU